RNAcentral lists this long non-coding RNA (237 nucleotides) under Elaeis guineensis (African oil palm). Its description in RNAcentral is "long non-coding RNA (EGUI_LNC062886)". The record is from RNAcentral. Lineage: Eukaryota; Viridiplantae; Streptophyta; Magnoliopsida; Arecales; Arecaceae.
UGGGCCUAUAUGUUAUCUGUGUGGAUUCUAGUACCUGCUAAGAAAUUAAGAUAAUUUUUCGAAUUGGAGAUAGAGACUACCAAUUCAUAUAAAAUAAUGAGAGGACCUUUAGACAAAAGUCUAAAUCUUUAGGAUUAAUAAAUUCAUAUACUAAUUAGACUUGGUUCUUUCUUUGUGUGUAUGGAUAUAGCCUCAAACUUGUCACUCCGAUCACUAUUAGAUAGUGAGAAGCUUACC